RNAcentral lists this ribosomal RNA (1228 nucleotides) under metagenome. Its description in RNAcentral is "SSU rRNA". It matches the Rfam family "Eukaryotic small subunit ribosomal RNA", at positions 506 to 1758 of the family's 1831-position model. The record is from RNAcentral.
UUAUCGGAAUGAGAACAAUUCAAAUCCUUUAACGAGGAUCUAGCGGAGGGCAAGUCUGGUGCCAGCAGCCGCGGUAAUUCCAGCUCCGCAGGUGUAUAUCUAUGCUGCUGCGGUUAAAAAGCUCGUAGUUGGAUCUGCGUGCUCGGAACAGGUUGGCUCACUGAGUUCAAACUGGUCUCCGGCGCUUUAUUGGCUGGUUUUCCCUUGAUGCUCUUAACCGGGUGUCUUGGGUGGCUAGCACGUUUACUUUGAAAAAAUUAGAGUGCUCAAUACAGGCGUAAAGCCUUGAAUAGUGGUGCAUGGAAUAAUAGAAUAGGACCUCGGCUCUAUUUUGUUGGUUUUCGGAACGCGAGGUAAUGAUUAAGAGGGACAGACGGGGGCAUUCGUAUUGCGACGUUAGAGGUGAAAUUCUUGGAUCGUCGCAAGACGGACGACUGCGAAAGCAUUUGCCAAGAAUGUUUUCAUUAAUCAAGAACGAAAGUUAGAGGUUCGAAGGCGAUCAGAUACCGCCCUAGUUCUAACCGUAAACGAUGCCAACUAGCGAUUCGCAGGCGUUAAACAACGACCUUGCGGGCAGCUUCCCGGAAACGAAAGUGUUCGGGUUCCGGGGGAAGUAUGGUUGCAAAGCUGAAACUUAAAGGAAUUGACGGAAGGGCACCACCAGGAGUGGAGCCUGCGGCUUAAUUUGACCCAACACGGGAAAACUCACCCGGCCCGGACACCGUAAGGAUUGACAGAUUGAGAGCUCUUUCUUGAUUCGGUGGGUGGUGGUGCAUGGCCGUUCUUAGUUGGUGGAGCGAUUUGUCUGGUUUAUUCCGAUAACGAACGAGACUCUGGCCUACUAAAUAGUGGGCGGAUUCUUUCUGUCCGCAACACUUCUUAGAGGGACAAGCGGUGUUCAGCCGCACGAGAUUGAGCAAUAACAGGUCUGUGAUGCCCUUAGAUGUCCGGGGCUGCACGCGCGCUACACUGAAGGAAUCAGCGUGCUUUCUGACCUUGCCCGAAAGGGCUGGGUAACCCGAUGAAAAUCCUUCGUGAUUGGGAUAGGGACUUGCAAUUAUUUCCCUUGAACGAGGAAUUCCCAGUAAGUGUGGGUCAUAAGCUCGCGUUGAUUACGUCCCUGCCCUUUGUACACACCGCCCGUCGCUGCCCGGAACUGAGCCGUUUCGAGAAGAACAGGGACCGUCGUUGAAGGGCCUUAACGGGCUUUUCUCUGAUAGAAACUGUU